Molecule: ribosomal RNA, 511 nt
Filed under: Botrytis cinerea
Lineage: Eukaryota; Fungi; Ascomycota; Leotiomycetes; Helotiales; Sclerotiniaceae
Description: eukaryotic LSU rRNA
Rfam family: 5.8S ribosomal RNA (bases 148-301)
Source: RNAcentral
UGCCUAGGUCUGAUGUAAGGGUAGACCUCCCACCCUUGUGUAUUAUUACUUUGUUGCUUUGGCGAGCUGCCUUUGGGCCUUGUAUGCUCGCCAGAGAAUACCAAAACUCUUUUUAUUAAUGUCGUCUGAGUACUAUAUAAUAGUUAAAACUUUCAACAACGGAUCUCUUGGUUCUGGCAUCGAUGAAGAACGCAGCGAAAUGCGAUAAGUAAUGUGAAUUGCAGAAUUCAGUGAAUCAUCGAAUCUUUGAACGCACAUUGCGCCCCUUGGUAUUCCGGGGGGCAUGCCUGUUCGAGCGUCAUUUCAACCCUCAAGCUUAGCUUGGUAUUGAGUCUAUGUCAGUAAUGGCAGGCUCUAAAAUCAGUGGCGGCGCCGCUGGGUCCUGAACGUAGUAAUAUCUCUCGUUACAGGUUCUCGGUGUGCUUCUGCCAAAACCCAAAUUUUUCUAUGGUUGACCUCGGAUCAGGUAGGGAUACCCGCUGAACUUAAGCAUAUCAAUAAGGCGGAGGAA